This 483-nucleotide ribosomal RNA is filed under the name uncultured bacterium. RNAcentral's name for it is "bacterial SSU rRNA". It matches the Rfam family "Bacterial small subunit ribosomal RNA", at positions 28 to 526 of the family's 1533-position model. The record is from RNAcentral.
GACGAACGCUGGCGGCGUGCUUAACACAUGCAAGUCGAACGGAAAGGCCCAGCUUGCUGGGUGCUCGAGUGGCGAACGGGUGAGUAACACGUGGGUGAUCUGCCCCUAACUUCGGGAUAAGCUUGGGAAACUGGGUCUAAUACCGGAUAGGACAAUCGUUUAGUGUCGGUUGUGGAAAGUUUUUUCGGUUAGGGAUGAGCCCGCGGCCUAUCAGCUUGUUGGUGGGGUAAUGGCCUACCAAGGCGUCGACGGGUAGCCGGCCUGAGAGGGUGGACGGCCACAUUGGGACUGAGAUACGGCCCAGACUCCUACGGGAGGCAGCAGUGGGGAAUAUUGCACAAUGGGCGCAAGCCUGAUGCAGUGACGCCGCGUGGGGGAUGACGGCCUUCGGGUUGUAAACCUCUUUCGACAGGGACGAAGCUUUGGUGACGGUACCUGUAUAAGAAGCACCGGCUAACUACGUGCCAGCCGCCGCAGUAACAC